ACCUGACUGCUAUCGGAUUGGUACUAAGCCAUGUGAGUCAUUGUAGCAAUACAAGGCAUACGGCUCAGUAACACGUAGUCAAUCUGCCCUAUGGACGUGGAUAACCUCGGGAAACUGAGAAUAAUCCGCGAUAGAUCAUAAUGCCUGGAACGGUUUAUGGUCCAAAUGAUUCGUCGCCAUAGGAUGGGACUGCGGCCUAUCAGCUUGUUGGUGAGGUAAUGGCCCACCAAGGCUAUUACAGGUACGGGCUCUGAGAGGAGAAGCCCGGAGAUGGGUACUGAGACACGGACCCAGGCCCUAUGGGGCGCAGCAGGCGAGAAACCUUUGCAAUGUGCGCAAGCACGACAAGGUUAAUCCGAGUGUUUCCUGCUAAAGGAAUCUUUUGUUAGUUCUAAAACCACUGAUGAAUAAGGGGUGGGCAAGUUCUGGUGUCAGCCGCCGCGGUAAAACCAGCACCUCAAGUGGUCAGGAGGAUUAUUGGGCCUAAAGCAUCCGUAGCCGGUUCUGUAAGUUUCCGGUUAAAUCCACUAGCUCAACUAAUGGGCUGCCGGAAAUACUGCAGAACUAGGGAGUGGGAGAGGUAGACGGUACUCGGGAGGAAGGGGUAAAAUCCUUUGAUCUCUUGAUGACCACCUGUGGCGAAGGCGGUCUACCAGAACACGUUCGACGGUGAGGGAUGAAAGCUGGGGGAGCAAACCGGAUUAGAUACCCGGGUAGUCCCAGCUGUAAACGAUGCAGACUCGGUGAUGCACUGGCUUUUGGCCAGUGCAGUGCCGCAGGGAAGCCGUUAAGUUUGCCGCCUGGGAAGUACGUACGCAAGUAUGAAACUUAAAGGAAUUGGCGGGGGAGCACCACAAGGGGUGAAGCCUGCGGUUCAAUUGGAGUCAACGCC
RNAcentral lists this ribosomal RNA (892 nucleotides) under uncultured archaeon. RNAcentral describes it as "bacterial SSU rRNA". It matches the Rfam family "Archaeal small subunit ribosomal RNA", at positions 21 to 919 of the family's 1478-position model. The record is from RNAcentral.